AUUGAACGCUGGCGGCAUGCUUUACACAUGCAAGUCGAACGGUUACAGGCCUUUGUUUGCUGACUAGUGGCGAACGGGACAGUAAUGCAACGGGACGUACCCAUGGGUGGGGGUUAACGCAGCCAGAGCUGUGGUAAUACUGCUUGGGAGUGUACUAUGUGAGCCGGGUGCCGUGGAGCAAUGUUUGUCCUUUCUGCUUUGUUUCGGUGGAUGUCGGGUUAGCUAGUUGGUGGGGUAAAGGCCUACCCAUGCGAUGAUCCGUAGCUGGUCUGAGAGGACGACCAGCCACACUGAGACUGAGACACGGCCCAGACUGCUACGGGAGGCAGCAGUGGGGAAUUUUGGACAAUGGGCGGGAGCCUGAUCCAGCAAGGCCGCGUGCGGGAAGAAGGCCUUCGGGUUGUAAACCGCUUUUGGCAGGAACGAAACGGUGUCCGCUAAUACCGGGCGCUAAUGACGGUACCUGCAGAAUAAGCGCCGGCUAACUACGGGC
RNAcentral lists this ribosomal RNA (493 nucleotides) under uncultured bacterium. RNAcentral describes it as "partial 16S ribosomal RNA". It matches the Rfam family "Bacterial small subunit ribosomal RNA", at positions 30 to 508 of the family's 1533-position model. The record is from RNAcentral.